ACACAUAUGCCAAGGUGACAUGCUACUCUACAUGUGACCUCAACAUAUGUGUUU
This 54-nucleotide microRNA precursor is filed under the name Sarcophilus harrisii (Tasmanian devil). Its description in RNAcentral is "Sha-Mir-7394-P2_pre stem-loop". Lineage: Eukaryota; Metazoa; Chordata; Mammalia; Dasyuromorphia; Dasyuridae. The record is from RNAcentral.